Molecule: ribosomal RNA, 479 nt
Filed under: uncultured bacterium
Lineage: Bacteria
Description: partial 16S ribosomal RNA
Rfam family: Bacterial small subunit ribosomal RNA
Source: RNAcentral
GAUGAACGCUAGCGGGAGGCCUAACACAUGCAAGCCGAGCGGUAUUGUUUCUUCGGAAAUGAGAGAGCGGCGUACGGGUGCGUAACACGUGUGCAACCUGCCUUUAUCUGGGGGAUAGCCUUUCGAAAGGAAGAUUAAUACUCCAUAAUAUAUUGAACGGCAUCGUUUAAUAUUGAAAGCUCCGGCGGAUAGAGAUGGGCACGCGCAAGAUUAGCUAGUUGGUGAGGUAACGGCUCACUAAGGCGAUGAUCUUUAGGGGGCCUGAGAGGGUGAUCCCCCACACUGGUACUGAGACACGGACCAGACUCCUACGGGAGGCAGCAGUGAGGAAUAUUGGUCAAUGGGUGCAAGCCUGAACCAGCCAUCCCGCGUGAAGGACGACUGCCCUAUGGGUUGUAAACUUCUUUUGUAUAGGGAUAAACCUACCCUCGAGAGGGUAGCUGAAGGUACUAUACGAAUAAGCACCGGCUAACUCCGUG